UGACAGCACUGUCUGUCGUACCAAGGGUUAAUAGUUACGUUCGUAUUUAUUGGCCGGAACGUGACGGUUAGGUAAGC
Prevotella sp. CAG:891 is the source of this 77-nucleotide non-coding RNA. Lineage: Bacteria; Pseudomonadati; Bacteroidota; Bacteroidia; Bacteroidales; Prevotellaceae. The record is from Rfam.